UUCCAGACUCCUACGGGAGGCAGCAGUGAGGAAUAUUGGUCAAUGGCCGCAGGGCUGAACCAGCCAUGCCGCGUGCAGGAUGACGGCUCUAUGAGUUGUAAACUGCUUUUGUACGAGGGUAAACCCCGAUACGUGUAUCGGGUUGAAAGUAUCGUACGAAUAAGGAUCGGCUAACUCCGUGCCAGCAGCCGCGGUAAUACGGAGGAUGCGAGCGUUAUCCGGAUUUAUUGGGUUUAAAGGGUGCGCAGGCGGAAUGUCAAGUCAGCGGUAAAAUUUCGGGGCUCAACCCCGUCGUGCCGUUGAAACUGGCGUUCUUGAGUGAGCGAGAAGUAUGCGGAAUGCGUGGUGUAGCGGUGAAAUGCAUAGAUAUCACGCAGAACUCCGAUUGCGAAGGCAGCAUACCGGCGCUCAACUGACGCUCAUGCACGAAAGCGUGGGUAUCGAACAGGAUUAGAUACCCGAGUAC
Molecule: ribosomal RNA, 466 nt
Filed under: uncultured bacterium
Lineage: Bacteria
Description: bacterial SSU rRNA
Rfam family: Bacterial small subunit ribosomal RNA
Source: RNAcentral